GUGGAUAUGGUUCAGUGGUAGAACGCUAGCUUCCCAAGCUAGAGAUGCGGGUCCGAUUCCCGUUAUCCGCU
RNAcentral lists this transfer RNA (71 nucleotides) under [Clostridium] fimetarium. Its description in RNAcentral is "Clostridium fimetarium tRNA". It matches the Rfam family "tRNA". Rfam says of the family: Transfer RNA (tRNA) molecules are approximately 80 nucleotides in length. Their secondary structure includes four short double-helical elements and three loops (D, anti-codon, and T loops). The record is from Rfam by way of RNAcentral. Lineage: Bacteria; Bacillati; Bacillota; Clostridia; Lachnospirales; Lachnospiraceae.